UACGAAGGGUGCACGCGUUAAUCGGAAUUACUGGGCGUAAAGGGUGCGUAGGCGGUUUGUUAAGUCUGUUGUGAAAUCCCCGGGCUCAACCUGGGAAUGGCAAUGGAUACUGGCAAGCUAGAGUGUGUCAGAGGAUGGUGGAAUUCCCGGUGUAGCGGUGAAAUGCGUAGAGAUCGGGAGGAACAUCAGUGGCGAAGGCGGCCAUCUGGGUCAACACUGCCGCUGACGCGCGACAGCGUGGGGAGCAUUCAGG
Molecule: ribosomal RNA, 253 nt
Filed under: uncultured bacterium
Lineage: Bacteria
Description: partial 16S ribosomal RNA
Rfam family: Bacterial small subunit ribosomal RNA
Source: RNAcentral